GACGAACGCUGGCGGCGUGCUUAACACAUGCAAGUCGAACGGAAAGGCCCUGCUUGCUGGGUGCUCGAGUGGCGAACGGGUGAGUAACACGUGGGUGAUCUGCCCCUUACUUUGGGAUAAGCCUGGGAAACUGGGUCUAAUACUGGAUAGGACCAUGCUGUAGGUGGUGUGGUGGAAAGAUUAGUUUCGGUAAGGGAUGAGCUCGCGGCCUAUCAGCUUGUUGGUGGGGUAAUGGCCUACCAAGGCGUCGACGGGUAGCCGGCCUGAGAGGGUGGACGGCCACAUUGAGACUGAGAUACGGCGCAGACUCCUACGGGAGGCAGCAGUGGGGAAUAUUGCACAAUAGGCGCAAGCCUGAUGCAGCGACGCCGCGUGGAGGAUGACGGCCUUCGGGUUGUAAACUCCUUUCAGCCAUGACGAAGCCCUUGUGGUGACGGUAGUGGUAGAAGAAGCACCGGCUAACUACGUG
This 469-nucleotide ribosomal RNA is filed under the name uncultured bacterium. RNAcentral's name for it is "partial 16S ribosomal RNA". It matches the Rfam family "Bacterial small subunit ribosomal RNA", at positions 28 to 507 of the family's 1533-position model. The record is from RNAcentral.